GACAGAGGUUGCAAACGUUGUUCGGAAUUACUGGGCAUAAAGCGCACGUAGGCGGUUCGUUAAGUCAUGUGUGAAAUCCCUCGGCUCAACCGAGGAAUUGCGCCUGAUACUGGCGGGCUAGAGAUCGAUAGGGGUGAGUGGAACUCCAGGUGGAGCGGUGAAAUGCGUAGAUAUCUGGAGGAACACCGGUGGCGAAAGCGGCUCACUGGAUCGAUACUGACGCUGAGGUGCGAAAGCUAGGGUAGCGAACAGG
This 253-nucleotide ribosomal RNA is filed under the name uncultured bacterium. Its description in RNAcentral is "partial 16S ribosomal RNA". It matches the Rfam family "Bacterial small subunit ribosomal RNA", at positions 524 to 776 of the family's 1533-position model. The record is from RNAcentral.